Molecule: transfer RNA, 81 nt
Rfam family: tRNA
About the family: Transfer RNA (tRNA) molecules are approximately 80 nucleotides in length.
Source: Rfam
GGCAACGUGCCUGAGUGGUUAAAGGGUGUGACUAGAAAUCACAUGGGUUCGCCCGCGUAGGUUCGAGUCCUGCCGUUGUCG